AGUUGUGAUACAGAUCGGAAGAAACCAAAAUACCAAACCUAUGGCUUCUGAGCUUUGUUCCUUUGAUUUUUUUAGGAGCUUGAAGGACUUUUGCUCUGCUAUUCAACAAAACAUACGCCUGCUCUGAGCAUGGCCACUGUUCAAUCUCUCAAGCUUCUAAGCACACACUCUUUCCAUACUAAUCCAUUUCCUAAAUCUCAAUCUUUCACUGCAAACCCCAAUUUCUCUGUUCGUUCUCUGGCCGCUGCUCCCAAAUCAUCCCCUCAAAAGAGCACCGACAUCACUUCGCUUGAGAAUUCGCCACCGAAACCCAAACCAAAAUCCUCACUGGUUGAUUCUCCCGAGCCAAGCGCGCCUUCCUCUCCAUCUUUAUUAAAUUCGUUCUCUGGUCUUGCCGGCCGUUUGAGAAAUGGGUUUAAGAUUGAUGAGCUUGGUUUUGAAAUUUUGUCAAUUGCAUUGCCUGCUGCAUUGGCUCUCGCUGCUGACCCCAUUACGUCACUCGUCGAUACAGCUUUUGUUGGUCAUAUAGGACCGGUUGAAUUGGCGGCAGUUGGGGUAUCCGUUUCUGCAUUCAAUCUGGUUUCAAAGUUGUUUAAUGUUCCAUUGCUCAACGUCACAACAUCAUUUGUUGCUGAAGAGCAGGCAUUGAUUAGUAAAGAGAAAGAUUGUGUGAAUGAGCCCCAAGGCAAGACAUAUUUACCAGCUGUGUCUACUUCUUUAGCACUUGCUGCUGCUGUUGGCAUUGCUGAAGCUGUUGCACUCUUUCUUGGCUCAGGAUUCUUAAUGAAUAUCAUGGGUAUAACUGCUGAUUCACCUAUGCGAGUACCAGCUGAGAAUUUUCUUUCUUGGAGGGCAUUUGGUGCUCCACCCAUUGUAAUUGCACUUGCUGCACAAGGCACUUUUCGUGGAUUUAAGGAUACAAAGACACCUCUAUAUGCCAUUGGUGCUGGCAACUUGCUCAAUGCAGUACUGGAUCCAAUACUGAUUUUUGUGUUUGGUUUUGGCAUUGGUGGUGCUGCAAUUUCCACUGUUAUUUCUGAAUAUUUUAUUGCUUUUAUCCUUCUGUGGAAGUUGAAUAGCGAAGUGACCUUGAUUUCUCCAAAUAUUGAUGGUAGCAGAGUUGUCCGCUAUCUAAAUUCUGGUGGUCUCCUUAUUGGCAGAACCAUAGCUGUGCUUUUAACAAUGACACUAGCCACAUCCAUGGCAGCUAGGGAGGGCCCCAUACCAAUGGCUGGUCAUCAAAUAUGCAUGCAAGUUUGGUUGGCUGUAUCUUUGCUCAAUGAUGCUUUAGCUCUGGCUGGUCAGGCUCUUCUAGCCGGUGGAUACUCCCAAGGAAAUUAUGAACAAGCACGUCAAGUGACAUAUAGAGUUUUAGAGAUCGGUAUAAUAACCGGAAUUGGUUUGGGGGCAAUAUUAUUCAUCGGAUUUGGAGCAUUUUCUAGCUUGUUCAGUACAGAUUCAGAAGUUUUGGAGAUUGCUUGGUCUGGUGUUCUGUUUGUUGCCGGGUCUCAACCAAUGAAUGCUCUUGCAUUUGUUCUUGAUGGGCUUUACUAUGGCGUUUCAGACUUCGGAUUUGCUGCCUACUCUAUGCUACUAGUAGGACUCAUCUCUUCUUUGUUCAUCCUUGCGGCUGCACCUGUAUUUGGUCUUGCUGGAGUCUGGACAGGGUUGUUUCUCUUCAUGACCUUGAGGGUGGCGGCUGGAAUGUGGAGGUAAUACUUUUGGUUCUGUAGGAGGAUAUAUAUUUCUCUGUAGGAUACUUGGCCAAAAUGUGACCCAUUAGCCCACAAGUACCGUGACAAAGCGGCUGUUGCUCACCCGACACAUUGUACGACGUCAGAAUUCACCCAACACGAUCAUGUGGGGUGAACAAGGAUUGGGGAUCGGAUGCGGGCAAAUGUCCCGCCAAUGGCUGAGAUGUUCAGUCGAUUCCUUCCCUCUUUGUGGGGGUCCGAUUAACUUUAUUAAAUUAUCAAUUAAUUGCCAUGAACUGGGAUGCCUGUAUGUAGAAUGUACAUCCUACAUCCUUGUCCAACCUUUUUUCAACUCCAGUGCAUAUAUGGAAUCACCAAUCAUCACCAUAUCAACGUAUCCAUCUUAAUGUGGCAUGAUAGGCACUGUUAUCAGCACAAGUCCAAGUUUGAUGAGCUGCUGUAUGUCAAAAUACAGCAUCUUCUUCCCAGGCCAUUUCGUUUCUUUUUCCCCUUCAAAGAUGACAUUGAUGGCUUCAAGGUUGGGCACAAAAACUGGUCCAUGGAAACUGGUUUGGGCCAAAGGGGAACAGGAAAGAGAUCUAAGUGAGUGAUACACUGAUUUUGCUAAUAUAGUCUGCUCAUAACUCAAUGAGGGCAGGGUCAUAAGACGUA
Manihot esculenta (cassava) is the source of this 2366-nucleotide RNA transcript. It is a transcript of the gene named protein DETOXIFICATION 44, chloroplastic, with no coding region annotated. The transcript has 13 exons. NCBI's taxonomy places the organism in Eukaryota, Viridiplantae, Streptophyta, Magnoliopsida, Malpighiales, Euphorbiaceae. The record is from RefSeq and is a predicted model, not a curated record.